CGUGAGGUGACGGGAGCUUGCAGGAGCGAGUCCCCGACGACGACUGUAGCUGUAGCUCUGUGCCCUCAGCCUUCUGUACCAGGCCCGUCUCCCGCCUCCCGCCUCGAAUUUCAUUUUUCAAACACAGUUUCCCCCGACCCUCGGAGUGCCCUUUCCUUUCGCGGGAAGCGGGGCGUUGGAGGAGGAUAAAAAAGGUUCCGGGUGCGAGGCGAAGAUGGAGGAGGGCGCCCAGACCCCAGACUGGGACAGCGAUGAAACGAUGAUUGACGAGUCGGUGACGGAGAGCGACCUGGAUGAAGAGGAGCUUCCCUGGAGAAGGCACUCCUUCUCCUGAGAUUCAACUUGCUUUCAAAUUCAGAGAGAUUCCACAAGAGCAGAAGAGUAAAAAUAAUAUAAUGCCGCCUCUUAGUGAGAAAGAAGUCUUACAGGUAUAUAUCAUAUU
This 442-nucleotide long non-coding RNA is filed under the name Mustela putorius furo (domestic ferret). RNAcentral describes it as "lncRNA (ENSMPUG00000023937.1)". The record is from RNAcentral. Lineage: Eukaryota; Metazoa; Chordata; Mammalia; Carnivora; Mustelidae.